UUAAAAAUUACGCAUAAACCUAUUUUCAGAACGUCGUGGAACGCUGUUUCUCCCACUUCGUCACCGAUCCUUUCUCUGCAAUCGCCAUUACAGCUGCUUUUACUUCAUCGAUCAAUGAUGUUCUUUACUCAGUCCUUUAUUGUUUCGAUCCACCUCUUGAUGAUUCUUCAUCCUCCAAAUCCAGACGUUUCAUGUUUCUAUCAACCACUUGCUAUAAAUUUAGGGACAUUUUUCCGUCAUGGCUAACCUCGAUUUUGUCGUCCUACUUGACAUUUGACAAUCUGCAUAUUUGUCGUUUUCUCAAGAGGAGACUCAUCAUGUACUGGGAUUAUUAGGUUUUUUAAAUAUCCCUUGCCUGUUCAAUUGCUAUUAAUCUCGAUACCAAGAGCUUCUUGGGGAUAAACAGGUUCUGAUUGCAUCGCCUCCAAGGAAAAAACUCAGAAACUCAUAUUCAGGAGCUUGAGGAGGAACUUAAGUUUCUCAAGAAUCACUCUCAACCAAAUAUAUUUGUAAGUAAUAAAAGCUUUUUGUAUUCACUGUUUGGUACGCCCACAUGUCUUUGUUUCUUUUAUAAAUCUUUCAUUCAAAGCUUUGUGAUUCAUUUAUUCGUAGAAAGCUGUGUGUUUUGUGGACUUAUGGUACAGCAGAGAGAGAGAGAGAGAGAGAGAGAGAGAGAGAGAGAGAGAGAGAGAG
Molecule: long non-coding RNA, 693 nt
Organism: Brassica napus (rape)
Lineage: Eukaryota; Viridiplantae; Streptophyta; Magnoliopsida; Brassicales; Brassicaceae
Exons: 3
Source: RefSeq, a predicted model, not a curated record